GUUGAACGCUGGCGGCGUGCCUAAUACAUGCAAGUCGAGUGAUCGCACGAAACGCUUUCCUGUUUGAUUUUCGCGUCGCACGGGUGAGUGACACGUGGAUAAACCAGCCAUAAGACUGGGAAAAACUCCGGAAACCGGAGCUAAUAACCGCUAAUCUUUUCAACAGCAAAGAUCAGAACCGUCAGACCGCCUUGCUGCCACUUAUACAUGGUUCCAGGCUGCAUUAGCUAGUAGGUCAGGUAACGGCUUACCCAGGCAACGAUGCAUAGCUGAGCUGAGAGGGUGAUCAGCCACACUGGAACUGAGACACGGUCCAGACUCCUACGGGAGGCAGCAGUGGGGAAUCUUGCACAAAGGGCGAAAGCCUGAUGGAGCAAUGCCGCGUGUAUGAAGAAGGUCUUCGGGUCGUAAAACUCUUUUAGCAGGGAGGAAGAGAGGAAUGAGUAACUGUGCACUCAUUGACGUUACCUGCAGAGGAAGCCACGGCUAACUCCGUG
RNAcentral lists this ribosomal RNA (497 nucleotides) under uncultured bacterium. Its description in RNAcentral is "partial 16S ribosomal RNA". It matches the Rfam family "Bacterial small subunit ribosomal RNA", at positions 28 to 507 of the family's 1533-position model. The record is from RNAcentral.